Molecule: transfer RNA, 77 nt
Filed under: Clostridium botulinum
Lineage: Bacteria; Bacillati; Bacillota; Clostridia; Eubacteriales; Clostridiaceae
Also listed under: 31 other names
Description: tRNA-Arg
Rfam family: tRNA
About the family: Transfer RNA (tRNA) molecules are approximately 80 nucleotides in length. Their secondary structure includes four short double-helical elements and three loops (D, anti-codon, and T loops). Further hydrogen bonds mediate the characteristic L-shaped molecular structure. tRNAs have two regions of fundamental functional importance: the anti-codon, which is responsible for specific mRNA codon recognition, and the 3' end, to which the tRNAs corresponding amino acid is attached (by aminoacyl-tRNA synthetases). tRNAs cope with the degeneracy of the genetic code in two manners: having more than one tRNA (with a specific anti-codon) for a particular amino acid; and 'wobble' base-pairing, i.e. permitting non-standard base-pairing at the 3rd anti-codon position.
Source: RNAcentral
GCAUCCGUAGCUCAGUAGGAUAGAGCGUCCCCCUCCUAAGGGGAAGGCCGGGGGUUCGAUUCCCUUCGGGUGUACCA